RNAcentral lists this long non-coding RNA (390 nucleotides) under Marmota monax (woodchuck). Lineage: Eukaryota; Metazoa; Chordata; Mammalia; Rodentia; Sciuridae. The record is from RNAcentral.
AGGAGGAGGAGGUGGUGGUGGCUGCCGCGGCCGCCAAGGAGUCCCUUGCUGAACGCGGACCGCGGAGUGGCGGGCGGCGCGCGCGCGCGUGCCCGAGAGGUGGCUGUUAGAGAAGUGGAGCGGCGGUCGCGGGGGGAGGAGGAGGAGGGACUGAGCGGCGGCGGCCCCCGCGUCCCGGUGCCUCUAUGGGGGAAGCAGACAAUGGAUUAUGAUUUCAAGGCGAAGCUGGCGGCGGAGCGGGAGCGGGUGGAGGAUUUGUUUGAGUAUGAAGGGUGCAAAGUGGGACGCGGCACCUACGGGCACGUCUACAAGGCGAGGCGGAAAGAUGGGUAAGAGCACGGGCGGGGGGAGUGGGCUCGCCCUGGUGCUCGCCCUGAAUGCGGCUGGGCG